AGGCAGCAAAGCCGCCUUCUGUUUUGUGAGCAGAGUCGCUGCUGAGGUCACCUGCCCUGAAAGGGGGAUGGAGCAUCAAGCUGUCCCCAGUAAUUACAGCCGGAGUCAGGGGCAGAAGGCGCACUCGGGAACCCCCUGUGUCACAUUCCUGGUGCUUCCGCACGUUCAUGCACAGAGACGUCAAAGACGCCUGCAUCCCACACAACUAAAGCCGGCGUCGGUGCCCAGAGGAAACGUGAUGUCUUUGCUGAAGAUGAAGAUUCCCCUACAGCCCUGUUUGCUCCAAACACAGCUCUUCCUGGCCAAGACUAGGUCCAUCAUUUUCUGAAUGGAGCAGCUAAAAUACUGUCUCCACGGACUGUGGACUCAGCAGCCAGACAGCUACUAAGAAACCCCAGGUUUUAGGGGGAGAAAGAACUAGCAUAUCUGGAUUCUAAAUCAGAAAUUCAGAGCCGAAGCCAAAGCAACUGAGUUUAGAAUCUGCUCGAUGGGAACUCUGCCCCCAAGAGGAGGAGAUUCUGCGAGGACCCAUCUGUCCGUCGGGAGAGUGCUUUCCAGUCUUUGUCAUAGAGACGCAGGCAGUGACCUCCUUGCUGCUUCUGGCUUUGCUGUUAUUUUCAGAUUUUUUAUUUGGAAGCGGACCCUCGUCUUCCAGCUCAUCUCCGUCUGCUCGCCCCUCUCUGUGUUGCUUUAGUGCAGGAAGAAUGGGCAGCCUCGACUCUGAGAAUGAGGGGAAGGCUUCCUGUUCAUUCCUUGGGGCCUAAGAUGCACAGCAACCUGGGGAUGGGGCCGCACGUCGUGGCGGCCCUGCUUCUGGUCUCAAAGCGGGGUGCCCCAUGUCCCCUCUUGAGCUCCGUGCUCCCGUUCAAGGGUUCCUGGCGAGGAGAAGAACCAAGAGGAGAGAAAGCGGAGCACAUGAGACUCAGAAGGAUGCAGCAACAGGCCGACCUCACAUGCUCGGCGUCCAUCAGCCCCGGGCAUACACUCCUGGAAGACACGCUUCCUCCCGGCCGAAACAGGUGGAUUGGAGGGUGGGGCUCCAAGCCCAAGGUCGAGGAGACUGAGCCCCGAGCAGGCACCGCCCCUCUGCUCCCACGGUGCGUGGGAGGCCCAGAAAGCUGGGAACAAGCAUCGUGGCAAAGAGCUUCUUAA
Molecule: long non-coding RNA, 1152 nt
Filed under: Sus scrofa (pig)
Lineage: Eukaryota; Metazoa; Chordata; Mammalia; Artiodactyla; Suidae
Description: lncRNA (ENSSSCG00015036553.1)
Source: RNAcentral